GGAGAGAUGGUAGAGUGGUCGAUUACAACGGUCUUGAAAACCGUCGUGCUGCGAGGCACCGGGGGUUCGAAUCCCUCUCUCUCCG
Molecule: transfer RNA, 85 nt
Filed under: Prevotellaceae bacterium KH2P17
Lineage: Bacteria; Pseudomonadati; Bacteroidota; Bacteroidia; Bacteroidales; Prevotellaceae
Rfam family: tRNA
About the family: Transfer RNA (tRNA) molecules are approximately 80 nucleotides in length. Their secondary structure includes four short double-helical elements and three loops (D, anti-codon, and T loops).
Source: Rfam by way of RNAcentral